AACAAAACAAGCAUUAGGGAGAAAAUACUUAUUAUGAAGAAAAGUUCACGAGCCAAAUAAGGGGAAAGAGCUACUACAAGUCCUCACCAUUCAAGUCAUAUGCCUAACUACAUACACAGCUACAUAUUAAUAUCUACAUUCAGUGAAGCAGCUAAACAUAUGUUUAUCUUAGAAGCGUCUCUUACGCUACUCAUCGACACAGGCAGUAAUGAUUCAGCACAGGAGGCGUUCGUUAGUCCACGCUCUCACCGGGGCUACGCUGAGG
Long non-coding RNA from Grus americana (Whooping crane), 265 nucleotides. RefSeq lists it as uncharacterized. The transcript has 3 exons. The record is from RefSeq and is a predicted model, not a curated record. Lineage: Eukaryota; Metazoa; Chordata; Aves; Gruiformes; Gruidae.